This 349-nucleotide ribosomal RNA is filed under the name uncultured rumen bacterium. RNAcentral's name for it is "bacterial SSU rRNA". It matches the Rfam family "Bacterial small subunit ribosomal RNA", at positions 20 to 363 of the family's 1533-position model. The record is from RNAcentral.
UGGCUCAGGAUGAACGCUGGCGGCAGGCUUAACACAUGCAAGUCGAGGGGCAGCGCGAGGGUAGCAAUACCUUUGGCGGCGACCGGCGCACUGGUGAGUAACACGUAUGCGACCUGCCCCGGACAGGGGGAUAAACCCGGGAAACUGGGCCUAAUACCCCAUACGCCUUCCCGUCGCAUGGCGGGAAGGUGAAAGAUCCGUCGGUCCGGGAUGGGCAUGCGGCGCAUUAGCUUGUUGGCGGGGCAACGGCCCACCAAGGCGACGAUGCGUAGGGGUUCUGAGAGGAAGGUCCCCCACACUGGUACUGAGACACGGACCAGACUCCUACGGGAGGCAGCAGUGGGGAAUA